This is a long non-coding RNA of Melospiza melodia melodia, 12366 nucleotides long. RefSeq lists it as uncharacterized. The transcript is spliced from 4 exons. The record is from RefSeq and is a predicted model, not a curated record. NCBI's taxonomy places the organism in Eukaryota, Metazoa, Chordata, Aves, Passeriformes, Passerellidae.
GUUAGCACUCUUUUGUGCUAUAAACGUAGUAGGCACACUAUCAUGAUAGCUGGAGAUGAAAAUUUUUGGUAAGAACAAGCCUGUUCACUCCUCACAUCAUGAUUUCCAGAUUCCCCCUCAGAUUUAUACUGCAGCUCUGAGGCACUUUCAGUGAAAUAUGCUGAAAGUCUUGCUCAUACCUCCCUGGAGCUACACACUGGAGAGCACAGCCGUGUGUGCUGCACAGCUUGGGCACCAGAGCAAAAGCUUCUGCACUGACUGCUCAUGUGGAAGACAGUUAAAAACAGUGAUGUUCAUUCUCCAGAUUACAAAAGCUAAUGAAGCAAAAGCAGUAUUUUGAAUAAUGAUGAACACCACAGACAGAGACGAAGCAUUUCAUUCAGAACCUAGGUUUGUUUUUUAUUUCUAAAGAGAAUUUAUUGCAGAAUUCAAAUGGGGCAAUACUGAAUUCCAGCAGUAAAGCUUCCCUUAAUUCACUGAAGGCAGCCUCUCCUGUCACAAGCAUCACUUGAAUUCCAAAACCUGUCUGCAUAGGUGAGGGGAGAGCAGUGGAAUGUUGCUCACCAGACUUCAGUAAGGUGUUUGAUGCUAUCUCCCAUGAUAUCCUCACAGACAAAGUCAUUAAGUGAAGGCUGGACAAAGGGAUGGUGAGAUGGAUGGAGAACUGGCUGAACAGCAGAGCUUAGGGGGCUUUUGAUCAGUGGCGAAGAGACCUGGAUGAAAACCUGCAACAAGUGAUAUCUCACAAGGGUUUUGAUACUGGGUCCAAUCUUGUUCAACUUAUAACUUAGAUGAAAGGGUAGAUACUUCCAGCAGGUUGGCUGAUGACACAAGGCUGGGAGGAGUGGCCAAUACCCCAGAGGGCUGUGCAGCCCUUCAGAUGGACCUCAACAGGCUGGAGAGUCGGGCAGAGAAGAACCUUCUGCAAUUCAAUGCAGAGAAAUGCAGGGUCCUGCACCUGGGGUGGAGCAGAGAUUGCACCUGCUGGAAGGCAGCUCUGCAGAGAAGGAACUAGGAGUCCUGGUGGACAAUCAGCUUUGCAUGUGUGGCCUGGUGCCGGGAAGGCCAAUGGAAGAGCCUUCAUUGCCAGCAGGCUGAGGGAGGUAAUCCUGCCUAUCUACUCAGCCCUGGUGAGGCCGCAUAUGCUGUCCUAGUUCUUGUCCUGUGCCUAGUUCUGGGGCCCUCAGUACAAGAGAGACAGGGAGAUCCUGGAGCAGGUCCACCAAAGGACCAUAAAAAUGAUUUCCUCUCAUGAGGAAAAGUUGUGAGAAUUGGGCCUAUCCAGCUUUGAGAAGAGAAAACCGAGAGAAGACAUCACCGAUGUCCGUCAGUAUCUGAAGGGAUGGUGAUGGGAGGAUGGACCGAGCUCUGUUCAGUGAUGCUGAGCAAAAGGACAAGAGAAAUGGGCAGAAACUCCUGCACAGCAAGUUCCACCUGAACAUGAGGAAGUACUUCUUUAUAUUGUGGGUGACCAAGCAGUGGAGCAGAUUGUCCAGAGAGAGUGUGGAGUCUCCUUCACUGGAGAUAUUUAAAGGCCAUCAGAACAGAUGGAAGGACAGAAUGCCCAGUGUGCAUUAUUUAAGGAUUCCAGAUAGAAGCUCCAUCUUUCUACUUAGACUGAUUUCAAAUGAUGUGGAAACCUUGAAGUUCCUCUGCUAACCAUCAAAGGAAAACCAGCUGGAUUAUACUGGCAAGUACCUCAGGAAGGCAGAACUAAUUGCUCCAAUUAUUACUGGAGAGCCAGGUGGGAAAUUAGAAUGUGGGGCCAAUUGGGGAUAGAUAAAAAAUACUUCUCAGAAUUUAGAGAGGAAGCUGAUAAUGCUUUGGUUUAUAAGGCUGCCGUUGUUUAUCUUGACUCAGUUUUUAAAGUUUGGGUUUUAGGCAUUAGUAGUAAGGCUAUUCCUAGCUUAAGGGGACAUGUAUAAAAUAUAGAUUUCUUUUUAAAAAACGAGAGAGGAUAAGGACUUCUGUCAGUGCAUAGGCCUGACUCAUUGCUUAAGGAUCCCUUGUGACAGAAAAGUAUAUCUGCUCUUUUAAAUUCUUAAAAUCAGCAUAUGACAGGCUAUCUGCAAGUGCUUUCAGUACUUGCUUUCUAUUCCCUUAUGUCCUUUUUUCUGCUCUGUAAUGUGGCAGCUGCUCAUGUGAGAAAUUACACUUGCUGGCAUUUUCUGCUUUAAAUUUUGUUGGCAUUGAUUAAAAUUAUGGUGUCAAGUAGUAGAUGGCAGACCCUUGCUAGAAGAUAAUGGCAGAAAGCAAGGUUCUGAUUUUAUAUUAAAGACAGUUUAAACAAAGUUAGGUUGAAUUUUAGACUUUUUAUAUAUAAAGAUAGUAGAGACCUUUGGCAAUUUUUCUUCUUCUUUCAAUUAGAUAUCUUCCUGGGAAAGGAUUAUAUUUUAAUCAGCAAUAUUUUAUUUUGAAAAAAAAUGUUUUCUACAUCUAAAUCAGAAGGGCAAUGGGACUACAAAAGCAGGUAUUACAGACACUAAGAAUGAGUUUUUAAAAAUAGAUUAACAUGUUUAUAUUGCUCUUGAGCAAAGACAAUGAGAAUGUGCAGCAAUUUCUUUUGCUAUGUACAUGACAUGGACUCAAAACUAAAAAAAUACAAUUCAACCACUGUCCAAGUCAGUGGUAAUCUGAUGAUAAAAUACUGGUAACAUUUCAGAUUGUCUAUAUUUCUCUUUACAUCCAUGGAUCAAUAUCCAUUAGAAUCAAGUCAGCAGUCUCAUACUCAAUCAGUAAAAGACUGUUGAUUAAAAAAAAUACUUGCGAUUCCAGACUUUUUCCAGGUUCUCAUAAAUUUUGGUAUAUGUUAGGAUUAAAUGUGCAAAAAUCCAGAAUUAUCUGAGUAGUGGGAAGGUAUAAAACAUCAAAGAUAGUAUUUGACCUAAAUAGUUGAUGCUUCCUGUGGUUUUGAGAUACCAAUCUAAAAAGGCCUUAAAAAGAAUUGGUUUAAGUCUUCGUCCAGAAACAUAAAACUAUUUUCCACCAUGGUGAAAGUCACUGCUUCUGACUUGGUCAUUUAUUGCUGCUUUAUAUAUUAUUCUAUGUCUGUUCUUUAUACUGCUAGGAGUCAGGAAUCAUGUUACAGAAAAUAAAAAUUUUCAGCUUAGUUCAAUUUAAUUAAAUUUAAGAAAAAGAAAUAUGACUAGUUUAUGAUCUGUAGGUAAAUUGAAGACUACUCCAGCAUGUAAAUUCACAGUUCCUCUGUCUAUUCCUGACAUAAAUAUAGAAAUGAGCCAUUGUAUGCUAUGUAAAUAUACUUGCAAUUUUCCUUGGGAAUAACAGGUCUCAGAUUCUUCCUACCCAGUACUGUACAUGUGACAUUCUCAUGUUGCUUCAGUAGUUGAAACAAUGAAAAGAAACUAAAAAGUGGAAUUUUCCUGGCACAGAGUUGCUGACCUAUCUGUUCAAAACAAAACACUGGAUGAAGUGUGUGAAAUGUGGGUGCCUGAUGCUCCUAAUCAAAGGUACAGAAGAAGGAGAGAAAUGUUUUUACUUCUGUAGCUGUCGAACACCCGAAUGUACAGCAGCUCCCAGAACACCACUCACACCAAGCAGGCAUAUCUGCAGUUUGUGUGUUGAGCCCUUCCCAAAUCUUUGUCAACUCUUUCAUAGCAAAGAGUCAUAGAAUGGUUUGGGUUGGAAGGGAUCUUUAAAGAUCAUCUGCUUCCAACCCCUUCCACUAGACCAGGUUGGUCAAACCCCCAGUGUUCAACCUGUCCUUGAACACUUCCAGGGUUAGGGCAUCCAUCAGGUCUCUGGGAAACCUGACCCAGUGCCUCACAAAUUCAAUGUAAAUCUACUCUCAGUUUAAAACCAUUGUCACUGGUAAAAAGUUUUUUCCUUUUUUUGUAAGUCCCCUUUAUCUAUUUCAAGCUACAACAAGGUUUCCUCAGACCCUUCUUUCCUCCAGGCUGGGCAACGCCAACUCUCUCAGCCUGUCUCCAUAGGAGAGGUGUUCUGUCUCUGAUUAUUCUAAAGUAAGAAAUUUUCUCACCUGUAGUAAACCUGCUAUUUUUAGCCUGGACAAACCAGACAUAAAAGUAUAGAUUUGUGCAUUUACAAAAGCAUUUGCAAAUCUCAGUAACUGUAUCAUAAUUAUCUGUUAAUAACUUUCUUCAUCUACCCUUUUUCUCCUCCUAAAAUUUUCUAGUUGAAGGUCCAAUAUUAGGGCAUUUUUCUCUGAACAUCCUCAUAAGGAAUAAUGUUAUACUUCUGAUAUUUCAACCUUUGGAUUUAAAAGAAAUCAAAAUGCUGGUUUAAGGUGUGAGAUGCAGCAAGCCCUCAGCCUGUUCUCAGUCAUAGUACAAUGAAUCCUGAGAUUUAAAGAGUGUUAUUCUAGCCUAAUUUAAGAGCAAGUAAAAAUGAAUUCUUUUCUCUGAGUUUUAAUUACUCUGAAGAAUAUUGCAUUGGUUAGCUGUGUCUAUUCUGUCAGUUUGUUUCAUGCCUUGUUUUACUCAAGAGAGCUAAUCCACUUAUCACUCCUGGGUGCUCCUCUUCAGGAGAAACAGUGUGAAACAGUUUGCAAGACAAUUUGCUCCAGGGUCUAUUCUGUGCAGAAAGGAUGGAUGAAAAUUUGACUAGGGUGGUUCAAAAAGCUAUAAAGGAUCAUUUACAAGUCAAAUUAUUCCCAGUCAGAGGGUCAUGCAUCCUUCCAAAAUCUUAUUAGAAUGACUUCCUAGCAUGUUUUAAGCUUGCUGUAGAAUUUCAACAAUUUUUGUCAUAAACAAAGAUUAGACUGCCUAUAUUAUUGAAAUACAGUGAUAAGAAAUUAAACCAUUCUGAAUUUCUUUGUUCAUUAUUUUGGCUGAUGAACCACAGAGCUCAAAAUUUAAAAAAAUAGUUUUUUUUUCAUCUCAAACUACUCUGAAUAGAUGCAAUUAAAUCCACAGUAAAAUUUGCCUGUUAAAAUAUGAUCACAAAGUAUGUUUGGGGCUUCUUCUUGUUGUGCUUGUUUUUUUUUUUAUUUCUUUUAAUCUCUAACUUAGGCAAAUAACUAGCAUGACCAAAAAUAAAUUUAAAAAAGGAAAACUCCUGCAAGAGUUCACCAAGGUUAUACUGAAUGAGAACAUAUCUCUAACAUAUAAUUUUGUAGAAAUUCAGUAAGUAUGUGUGCACCUUUAGAUUUUCAAAUAAUACAAAACUAUUCCUUCUGUUGUCCUAUGGGAAUAUAUUUACUGGGCCUUUACUAGAACAUUCUGAAAAUUUCUGUUCAGGUUCAACCAUCUGUAGAGGGAGACAGUUUCUUACUCAGAGAACUUUGUUCAAUUACAUUCAAAGUAUGAGGCUCAAAGGACCAUUGGAAAGGUCAUGAAGUGAACCUUUGAGAAAUGGCUGGACAGUGAACAGAAGAUUUUGGUAUUCAGGACAUGGACUGGUGGAUAAUAAAAAUAAAGAAGAAAAAAGAAAGGUAGGAAAGCCUUACUGUCUUGGAAGAUUUGGGUGAGGUGCUGCACUGCUCUUGUAGAAAGAUUACAAUUUUCUGACUGAAAAUCCUCACAAUAAUAAGGCAAGGCACAGAGGAUGACAGAAGCACUGUGAGUUCUCAUUCACUCAAAAAACCCUGACACACUCCUAAAAGACUCUUUGCUUGAGGUGAACCUCAGUGGUUGAGGACUGAGGAAUGAUUGAGGAAUGAUAUUUUGCAUGCAUACAGAAUCUUCAGCUGGAGAAGAUACAACAUUCCCAUGACAAUGCUAUUUAUAUCUAUAUAUCUCUCUCCUAUUAGAAGCAAUGGCAUCUUGGGAUUACUUAGCAAAUUCACGCUUAUAAAAUGUAUGGAAAUAUUUUCCCCAUAUAUUUUUUAAAUGGAUAAAUGGUUGGUAGUUGGAAAAUACCAUCUGGAACUUAUUGAGCAACUGAGCAACUUCAUAGGACAGAUAUACCAAUCAUGAUCUACAACUGAAUCAAGAUAUUAAUCAUGUGGUUUUAAUUGUUAGUUUCAAUCUUUACAUGGAUGAAAUUGAGUUUUUUAUAAUGUCUGUAAUACUUUAACCAUGUUAUAAGAAAUCGUUGAACAAGGUAUAUUGUACUUUCUGAAACAAAUACAGAAGUUGGCUUGCAUAACUUAAUGGAGACCACAAUAUGUAUAAUAAGAUUUACUGAAGCUUAAGAAGUUGAAGUAUUUCAUCUGCUCAGGGCAGAAUGCCCAGAGUAAGAUAGCAUGCAACAAUGCCUAUCAUAAAAAUAACUAAUACAGUGUCCAAGAACAAAACUCUGAUUUUUUUUAUAUUAUUAAGUAGUACAAAAAUACAGACUAUUAGAAGAGAAUAUAUUCAGAGAAACAAAGAUUAUCAUAGACAGAAUCACAGUUGUUUAUAUUGACCAUUUGGUUAUGCCAGCAAAGUAAUUAGCACUGUUGUCCAGUAUUUACUUAAAACUAUCCUGAUAUAUGUUAAUAGCACAAAAACUAUUCCCAACAAAACAUUAACACAUGUGGACAAACAAUUACAAAAUGAGCAUUUUUUCCCUGGAGAUUCCACUUAUGUAAAUGCCUGAAUUCUGUUGUCAUAUCCCCAUGAGCUGAACUCAAGCCCUGUUGCUACAGUUCUGUUUCAGGCACCCAGAAACCAAUUCUCAUUGUCAUUUUAGGAUCUCACUUUUCUUUGCCUGCAUCUACUGGUCUUAGAGAUCCUCUGAGUCCCUUGCCAGAUUUGUCAGGCCUGUGAAUUACUUGGAUGACUGAAACAUUUCACAUAGCAGUAGAACUUCAUGCUCAAUCAACUAAAUUUAUUCUUCACCAUUUUAAAGAGAUUAACCCAAGGCUACUUUUUAUAGAAGUUAUGCCCUAAGAAUGUCUGAAAAUGUAAAAAAAAAGAGUACCAGUAUGAAAAAGCUUUACAUGUAACUCUAAGUCAUUACUUGCAAAUAAGAGUACAAAUGCCAGCUAUGGGAGAUUCAACAGUUAAUGAAAAGUGGGAAUGAAUAUUUGCUUCCACUUAACUCCAGAGCUCAUCUGGUCCACAACACAGGUAAGUGAACUACAGAAAAUACAUGGUUUUAAGAUUGUCAUUCUCUUUUAUUCAUCUAUAGAAAGAAUGCCACAAUAAAUCUGUAAUACUGAAGUAAUUCUCAGGUAAUCUUGAGUUCCUCUAAAUUCUGAACUACUUUCCCAAAAGAUAAUUACAUUUACAUGCUGAAACUCAAAUGCUCUUGAAUUGUUUUCCAGCUUUUAGUUUAAUUUAUCCUUUGACACUGACAUUUCCCCUCUUAGUCAGCUGGAAAUCAGACACUGAAAUCCAGACUGCCUGCACCAGCCUCUCUCAAUGGCAAAAAACACUCAAUAGGGAACCAGUCAUUUUAUCAGACUAGGAGUUGUAACACUUAGAACUCCCAAGGUAGCAGAGGUGAAUUGCAUUGUAAGAGAAAAUCAGGGAAUUGCAGCUCUUCAGUCAUUUGCAAAUUUUGAAGACAAGAAGAAACAUCUUUGGAAAGGUAAUUUCAGACCAAUAGUUACACACACAUCUUCCAGAAUGUUUCAAAAGGUGGUUUGGGUAUUAUUUGGUUUGUUAUUACUUGUAUUUGUUUGGGUUUGUGGUUAAUUAAUAAUACCAAUAAGGAAAAAAAAAAAUUCUGUUUGUAGGCUCUGAAAUUUAGGAUCCAAGACAUAACCUAAGGGGCAACUUAUGAUGAACAAAAUAAUGAAGAUAUAUUUUUUACAGUUAUAAAUCUGUAUAAAACUCAUCACGAUAAAAUAAAAAUUAAAAAUUCUUGACUUCCCAUUUUCAUCCCACCAUUUCUCUUUUAGAAAACAAAUUUUUUAAAUGCUUAAAUAUACUAUUGAAAAAUUCAAUUUUACUAGGAGACUAUCAAAGUGUUUCAUAUUUGAUAUUUGAUAAAGCAAAUUAUUAAGUAUUUUUAACGACUACUAUGUAUGGAAAUUUUUAGUAAAAUGCAUAUACAUGGGUAAGAAUUCUUGUUUUGGAAAAGAGAACUUUAUAGAUCUACCUGUAAAUUCUAAUUUGAUUUCUUCAGCUCUGUGGAACAUUAGAUUGCUUUUACCUCAAAUAUGGAAACAGCAAUUAUUUCCUCAUGUAUAGAGAUUCUGGAAACCUGAAAAAUGCUGAUUUUUUAAAAUGACUAAGCUUAAGGUCCAUUUAUAAAUUAUAAAUAAAAAUUUUGAUUUAUUAAUUAAUUGAUCCUCAAAGCUUAAUUCAAAUGCAUCUAAAUGAAAAAGGUCUUAUUUUAAUAAUAAAAUGAAGGUCAUGAUAAUUAAGUUUUAUAUUUGAGGUCAAUAUAAACAUACACUUGAAAGAAUAUACCUCAUAUGUAAAGGGAAAUGUAAUUUUCAUAAUGUGUCCUUCAGUACAAAAUAUUUUCCAUUUUCAUGUGGUUUUCUAUUAUUACACAAGAAAAAGAUAAUCUCGUUCCUUAUGAAAUUAUGAAAGUCAUCCUGUCUGGUGCUUUCCAGCUCCAAUAUUACAGUGUCUUUUUCUUUCUCAGCACCACAUUAAUACCAAAACAAAAUCAUUCAGGAUUUACCAAUCCAAUAAAUGUUUCAUUAUAGUUCAUCUGCAUUAAGUGCAGCAGUCAAACCUGCUCAGCUAAUAUUUUUAUUUUAAAUUAAUGUUUUAUGUAAACACUAACAUUAAUAAUUGAUUUAUGAAGCAAAUAUUCUGAAAUUUUAUAAAAAUAGAGCCUGAUAGGCAUUAGACAUAUUCUUCAAAUCCACUGAGCACUGAGUCUGCUCCAUACUUUGUAUGUUUUAUUUGAAAAGCAAUGAACAUCAGAAGACAGAUAUUAUUGUAUAUUAUUCAUUGUAAUCUACCUAUUUAAUUACUUUAAAUAUACAGGUAGGACCCCAUUCUCAUUUAAACUGAAGAAUCAUUACACUGGUGUUCUGUGUAAAGGGCCUCUAGAGAAAAUGAAGUUCAGGAUUUCAAUCUACAAUACAAAGAGAGCAUAGACUAAUUUUUCAUAGCAUGACAAGUCAAAGAAAUGGGCACAUCCUUCCUAAAAAGAUGGGCUACCACUGUGGAGCUGUUUGUAUUUCUUUUUACCUUCUGAAUCAGCCACUCCCACUCCCGACUGCUUCACUGGUUCUUGUCCAUUCUGGCUCAUCUUCCCUCUGUGAAAAGAUAUGGUUGCUGUUGUCAAUAAACCAUAGAAAGAUAAGAGCUAAAACAAUGAUAUAUCUAAGCUAAUGAGGCUUGGUUAUUUUAAGAAUAUUGUAUUUUUUCUCUUUUGAAGGCAGCUGCAAUCACAUCUUGCUAAGCCUGUACAUCCUUACAGAAUGGAUCCAUCAGGUGCUGUCUCCUACCUGCCCCACAUCAGUCUGGGGCUACAAAUGUCUUCUCACUUUAUCUUGUCAUAGUCAAAAUGAGAAGAUAAAUGAAAUAUAUAAUAAGCAGUCAUAAAAAUUGAUAUUUAGUCUACCAUACCAUUACUUCAAAGGUAGGGCAUACUUGUGGUUGCCAUCUUCUUAAAUUAUUGUUUUACUUUAUAGUUUAGAUUUAGCAUACGAAACAAUUCUGAAAACUCAACAUUAAUCUUAAAGAGAGUGGAAUAAAUCAUGCCCUAGAGUUCACUAUUUUUCUGCAUUUUAUGUAGAAAGAACCUGCAUUAGAAUCUUAAUGUCUAUUUUUACCCAAUGAAAGUUAGGUAAAAUAUAAGCUAUCUUUAAUUAUACUUGUUGCAAGCUCAAAGGCAUGAUUAAAAUCACUCUCAAACAUUUUUUGCUUCUAGUUUCCUUUUUGCCCUAAGACUCUGACUGCUGUGAUAGAGACUAUAAGGCAUUAUCUUCAGUUGCAUGUGAUUCCUUGGGGGUUAAAGGGUCAGCACUGUUCUUUUCUACCUGAGUAGAAAAGUGUCAACCUGUGAGAAGAAAACUUCAUGUCUGAAGUUGCCAAAAUUCACAGGGAACUAAAAAAUUAGUAUAAAAUCAGUUUUUCAAGUGAUUUUACAUUCAGUUUUAACUGAAAGCUAUUAUUUCCUUCUUCUGUAGAUAAAGCUUCAUAAAUCUUUACAAAUAUGAUACAAGAAUUAUUUGUCCCAAGGGUUAUAUUCAUUAUACAUCAUUAAAUUGGUUUUCACCUUUGCAUUCAAAAUGAAUUUUAUUUUACAGCCAAUGUACUGCUAUAAAGUGUUAUACAACACAAAAGCAUAGAGAAUCUGGUCUUUAUCAGAGAUAAGAACAUGAGUCGCUUUCAAGAAUAUUACAACUGGAUAAUAGGAGUAUUUAAAAAAAAAAAUUAGAAAGACUUUACAAGAUAUAUUCAGAUUUAUGUAACUGUAUAUAAUCAUUAAUUUCCCUUGAUAGGUAUAGCUACUUAAUAUUGGCAAAUAUUCUAAUUAGUUACCUCAUCAAACAAUUCCCAUGGUGUCAUUAUUUAAUUAUUUUAUUUUGCUUCAAGACUAAUUGUUGCUAUGCUUAAAGCGCUUGGACUAAAACAAAGAGUGUAAAACUCAGCAUAUCCAACAAUUUCUGUUGAUAGACCAGAAACUUAGUCAAAGCAGAGAGCUUACAACCAAAAGAGAAUUUAAAUGCCAAGAUGCUUAAAAAUAUUUAGCCUUCUUAAUACUUCACAUCCAAAUUGUAAGCUGUGAGCUUAUGGAUUUGCUGAAUUAGUGUACAAGGUCAGAGUCCCUGAAGUCAUUAUCAAGCCAGUGUGAAUGCAAAUGAUGAGUAGAAUUUCAAUUAUACUUAUAUUCAGAUCAAUAAGAAUUUUUAUACAGAAUUUAAAAUGGAAACAGUUAUCUAUUUUAAAGAUUCUCUCCAUUAAUGAUCUGAUGCUAAACAGUUAUUUUGUCAUUCAUUUUCCUUACACUGCUAUGUAAAGCCCUGGGGAACUAACAUGAAAAAUGAAGCAGGUCCUGUCUGUAAAAAUUUUCUGUGUAAUUUUAAAUACGCUGUAAGCAUAUAAAUAACUUAGUUUAAAAUGCCAUAAUAAAAAAAAAAAGUGGCCUUACAAAAAAUGAGACGUGGAUAUAUUUUUUAUACUUAGGUAUAAUUAAUGAGAACAAAUUUUUUAUGAGAAAAUCUGAAGCUGUGGAGUCUUCCUCCUGCUUUUCAGCAGAAGUGGGGCUGAUUUCAGGCUUAAAAGACCAAUGAGUCUGUCAGCCAAAUAGCAAGGAACUGUAGGUACUGUCACAUUGCCAGUCAAUACACAGUAAGUGAUGUUAUUUGGACUCAAAUUUGGCAUGUGAACAGAAAAUUUCUAUUGAGAGCUCCAUCUUGUGUUAUUGUGCACAAAGAUUUUAUGUAUCUUUGCUUUUCUCACUAGGAAUGACAGCCCAAUAUUUUUCUUUUUCUUUUGAUGUUGUCAAAGUCCAAGUUUAUAUUUUUUUACCCCUUUUAACUUAGAACAACAUGAGUGAAAAAUCCAAUGCAAAUCAAACAAUUAGCACCCUACAAUCUAAGCUCACAUAAUCCUCCUGGAUUCUGAAAGUGAGAUUGAAGUCUUAGAUUUAUCUCUAUUUUCCCUUUAGUUACUGACAAGAUGUAGACAAAUACCAUUGUGCUUUAUUUAUUAAAUAAUAAAUACUCAGAAAUAUCACAGUUCUAGAGAAUUUUCACUUCAUUCAAGUUUUUCUAGGAAGCUUAUCUCUUUUGUAUCCUUUUGUUCACAACUUCAAGGGAAAAGCAAAUUUUUUUUGUUCCAGAGAAAAUAUUGAACAACUAUUGCAGACAAUGAAUCAACAUUGACUACCAACUAAUAUUUUGAGAACAGUCAAUCUGUAAAUUUUUUUCAGGACAGAAUCACUUAGUUGAUUAGAAGUUCCUCUGUCCUAUUAAGGAAUAUAAAUGAAAUUCGUAAAUGAUGGUGCAUGCUGACAGAGGAGGUGAAAAAAAUUCUGGCAAAACUUUUCUCUAUGGAGUACUUAACUGGGUAAGAAAUUUGUAAAAUUAAAUCAUUUUAUAGGAUCAUUACCCUGACAGUAGCCUGAUAAUUCCUACAGGGACUCUGUACCAAAAAGCUUUUUCCAGCCAAGAACUGAGAAAUUAAUUUGAAACUCCUAAAAACUUGGGAAAAGCUGGGCUGUAUCCAGAAUAUGAAUUCCCCUUGCACUAGUAACAUCUCUUUACAGAGGGAGGAAAACCUUAACCUAAGCUUUCUCAAUCCUACAAUGAUUGCACUUUUAAAACAUAAGCUAAGCCCAUCUCUACACACAUUCAUCAGGGGCUGAGGCCAGCACAUCUCCUACAUGACAGGAAGAAAUUCACAAGGUUGAGGCAGAGGUUUGAUUGGUUACUAACAAUUCAAUGCUCAACAAAGCAGAAUAAAAGUGUGAACUGUGGGGAAAUCCCCCCUUUAGCUGCUCUGCUCCUGCAUAACUCAAGUCUGCAGAGGAAACUGCAUAAGAAGAUGAGUGGCACAGUGAAAGUGCUGUAAAUUGUGCAUGGAGGAUACAAUACAGGAAUGGAAA